GGUUAAGCGACUAAGCGUACACGGUGGAUGCCCUGGCAGUCAGAGGCGAUGAAGGACGUGCUAAUCUGCGAUAAGCGUCGGUAAGGUGAUAUGAACCGUUAUAACCGGCGAUUUCCGAAUGGGGAAACCCAGUGUGUUUCGACACACUAUCAUUAACUGAAUCCAUAGGUUAAUGAGGCGAACCGGGGGAACUGAAACAUCUAAGUACCCCGAGGAAAAGAAAUCAACCGAGAUUCCCCCAGUAGCGGCGAGCGAACGGGGAGCAGCCCAGAGCCUGAAUCAGUGUGUGUGUUAGUGGAAGCGUCUGGAAAGGCGCGCGAUACAGGGUGACAGCCCCGUACACAAAAAUGCACAUGCUGUGAGCUCGAUGAGUAGGGCGGGACACGUGGUAUCCUGUCUGAAUAUGGGGGGACCAUCCUCCAAGGCUAAAUACUCCUGACUGACCGAUAGUGAACCAGUACCGUGAGGGAAAGGCGAAAAGAACCCCGGCGAGGGGAGUGAAAAAGAACCUGAAACCGUGUACGUACAAGCAGUGGAAGCACAGAGCAAUCUGUGUGACUGCGUACCUUUUGUAUAAUGGGUCAGCGACUUAUAUUCUGUAGCAAGGUUAACCGAAUAGGGGAGCCGAAGGGAAACCGAGUCUUAACUGGGCGUUAAGUUGCAGGGUAUAGACCCGAAACCCGGUGAUCUAGCCAUGGGCAGGUUGAAGGUUGGGUAACACUAACUGGAGGACCGAACCGACUAAUGUUGAAAAAUUAGCGGAUGACUUGUGGCUGGGGGUGAAAGGCCAAUCAAACCGGGAGAUAGCUGGUUCUCCCCGAAAGCUAUUUAGGUAGCGCCUCGUGAAUUCAUCUCCGGGGGUAGAGCACUGUUUCGGCAAGGGGGUCAUCCCGACUUACCAACCCGAUGCAAACUGCGAAUACCGGAGAAUGUUAUCACGGGAGACACACGGCGGGUGCUAACGUCCGUCGUGAAGAGGGAAACAACCCAGACCGCCAGCUAAGGUCCCAAAGUCAUGGUUAAGUGGGAAACGAUGUGGGAAGGCCCAGACAGCCAGGAUGUUGGCUUAGAAGCAGCCAUCAUUUAAAGAAAGCGUAAUAGCUCACUGGUCGAGUCGGCCUGCGCGGAAGAUGUAACGGGGCUAAACCAUGCACCGAAGCUGCGGCAGCGACGCUUAUGCGUUGUUGGGUAGGGGAGCGUUCUGUAAGCCUGCGAAGGUGUGCUGUGAGGCAUGCUGGAGGUAUCAGAAGUGCGAAUGCUGACAUAAGUAACGAUAAAGCGGGUGAAAAGCCCGCUCGCCGGAAGACCAAGGGUUCCUGUCCAACGUUAAUCGGGGCAGGGUGAGUCGACCCCUAAGGCGAGGCCGAAAGGCGUAGUCGAUGGGAAACAGGUUAAUAUUCCUGUACUUGGUGUUACUGCGAAGGGGGGACGGAGAAGGCUAUGUUGGCCGGGCGACGGUUGUCCCGGUUUAAGCGUGUAGGCUGGUUUUCCAGGCAAAUCCGGAAAAUCAAGGCUGAGGCGUGAUGACGAGGCACUACGGUGCUGAAGCAACAAAUGCCCUGCUUCCAGGAAAAGCCUCUAAGCAUCAGGUAACAUCAAAUCGUACCCCAAACCGACACAGGUGGUCAGGUAGAGAAUACCAAGGCGCUUGAGAGAACUCGGGUGAAGGAACUAGGCAAAAUGGUGCCGUAACUUCGGGAGAAGGCACGCUGAUAUGUAGGUGAAGUCCCUCGCGGAUGGAGCUGAAAUCAGUCGAAGAUACCAGCUGGCUGCAACUGUUUAUUAAAAACACAGCACUGUGCAAACACGAAAGUGGACGUAUACGGUGUGACGCCUGCCCGGUGCCGGAAGGUUAAUUGAUGGGGUCAGCGCAAGCGAAGCUCUUGAUCGAAGCCCCGGUAAACGGCGGCCGUAACUAUAACGGUCCUAAGGUAGCGAAAUUCCUUGUCGGGUAAGUUCCGACCUGCACGAAUGGCGUAAUGAUGGCCAGGCUGUCUCCACCCGAGACUCAGUGAAAUUGAACUCGCUGUGAAGAUGCAGUGUACCCGCGGCAAGACGGAAAGACCCCGUGAACCUUUACUAUAGCUUGACACUGAACAUUGAGCCUUGAUGUGUAGGAUAGGUGGGAGGCUUAGAAGUGUGGACGCCAGUCUGCAUGGAGCCGACCUUGAAAUACCACCCUUUAAUGUUUGAUGUUCUAACGUUGACCCGUAAUCCGGGUUGCGGACAGUGUCUGGUGGGUAGUUUGACUGGGGCGGUCUCCUCCUAAAGAGUAACGGAGGAGCACGAAGGUUGGCUAAUCCUGGUCGGACAUCAGGAGGUUAGUGCAAUGGCAUAAGCCAGCUUGACUGCGAGCGUGACGGCGCGAGCAGGUGCGAAAGCAGGUCAUAGUGAUCCGGUGGUUCUGAAUGGAAGGGCCAUCGCUCAACGGAUAAAAGGUACUCCGGGGAUAACAGGCUGAUACCGCCCAAGAGUUCAUAUCGACGGCGGUGUUUGGCACCUCGAUGUCGGCUCAUCACAUCCUGGGGCUGAAGUAGGUCCCAAGGGUAUGGCUGUUCGCCAUUUAAAGUGGUACGCGAGCUGGGUUUAGAACGUCGUGAGACAGUUCGGUCCCUAUCUGCCGUGGGCGCUGGAGAACUGAGGGGGGCUGCUCCUAGUACGAGAGGACCGGAGUGGACGCAUCACUGGUGUUCGGGUUGUCAUGCCAAUGGCACUGCCCGGUAGCUAAAUGCGGAAGAGAUAAGUGCUGAAAGCAUCUAAGCACGAAACUUGCCCCGAGAUGAGUUCUCCCUGACUCCUUGAGAGUCCUGAAGGAACGUUGAAGACGACGACGUUGAUAGGCCGGGUGUGUAAGCGCAGCGAUGCGUUGAGCUAACCGGUACUAAUGAACCGUGAGGCUUAACCUU
This 2906-nucleotide ribosomal RNA is filed under the name Escherichia coli. RNAcentral describes it as "23S ribosomal RNA". It matches the Rfam family "Bacterial large subunit ribosomal RNA". The record is from RNAcentral. Lineage: Bacteria; Pseudomonadati; Pseudomonadota; Gammaproteobacteria; Enterobacterales; Enterobacteriaceae.